This 271-nucleotide ribosomal RNA is filed under the name uncultured prokaryote. Its description in RNAcentral is "partial 16S ribosomal RNA". It matches the Rfam family "Bacterial small subunit ribosomal RNA", at positions 524 to 794 of the family's 1533-position model. The record is from RNAcentral.
UACGGAGGAUCCGAGCGUUAUCCGGAUUUACUGGGCGUAAAGCGCGUGUAGGUGGUUCUGUAAGUAGGGCAUGAAAGCUCCCGGCUCAACUGGGAGAGGCCGUUCUAAACUGCAGAGCUAGAGGAUGGUAGAGGGAGGUGGAAUUCCAGGUGUAGCGGUGGAAUGCGCAGAUAUCUGGAGGAACACCAGUGGCGAAGGCGGCCUCCUGGACCAUUCCUGACACUCAGACGCGAAAGCUAGGGUAGCAAACGGGAUUAGAUACCCGGGUAGU